Long non-coding RNA from Phragmites australis (common reed), 611 nucleotides. RefSeq lists it as uncharacterized. The record is from RefSeq and is a predicted model, not a curated record. Lineage: Eukaryota; Viridiplantae; Streptophyta; Magnoliopsida; Poales; Poaceae. The transcript is spliced from 2 exons.
UCCACUCACUUUGUCUCUCUCUUAUCUCUUCAUUUCACUUGCGUCCACCACAGCCACUAGUUCCUCUCUCCCUCUCUCUUUCUCUCUCUUCCUGUCAUGCAAGUUUCGAUCGAUGGGCGUCGUACGGGCUCUCAAAAGCGAGCAAGGAAGCGAGCUAGUACCUCCAGCCCGGCCGGCUAGCAGGCAGCCUCUGCGCCGUGUCCUGGUCCACGUUCCUACGGCCGAAGCUCUGCGCGUGUGGACGUUCUUGUCAAAGGUAGCUAGCUAGCUAGCUUGUUUGAUCAUCCUGUGGCUGAAGCUCUCUGUGCGUGUGGAUGUUCCACCGAAGCCGGACGGAGCCAGAGCGCCGGAGGGGAACCAGAGCGCUCCGGAUGGGCUGAAGGGCUUCUGCGGUUCCAUGGCUGCGGUGCGCGCGCCUGCGGCAGCUUCGGGGCGCGCCGGCGGGUGUUCCUGGCCAAGUGCAGCCACUCGUUCCUCUCUCUCCAGCCUCUCUCUUCCUCUCUCCUUUGUUCUUUGUUAGUAUAUGGAUGAGAUAAGUCGUUUUAAUUAUGUUUUUAUAUUUGAGAUGAGUAUAUGGAUGAGAUAGUUGAUUUGUGCUUGUGUUCGUAUGG